RNAcentral lists this small nuclear RNA (114 nucleotides) under Bemisia tabaci. RNAcentral's name for it is "U5 spliceosomal RNA". It matches the Rfam family "U5 spliceosomal RNA". Rfam says of the family: U5 RNA is a component of both types of known spliceosome. The precise function of this molecule is unknown, though it is known that the 5' loop is required for splice site selection and p220 binding, and that both the 3' stem-loop and the Sm site are important for Sm protein binding and cap methylation. The record is from RNAcentral. Lineage: Eukaryota; Metazoa; Arthropoda; Insecta; Hemiptera; Aleyrodidae.
AACUCUUGGCCCUCUUCUAGACGCAGAAAUCUUUUGCCUUUUAGCAAUAAGAUUUCCGUGGGAGGGUCAGUCAAUGAAGGUAAACCCAAUUUUUGGAAUGCAUGGCGCAAGCGA